AUUCCAGCUCCAAUAGCGUAUAUUAAUGUUGUUGCAGUUAAAAAGCUCGUAGUUGAAUUUCUGGUUAAAAUCUUAGCUGGCUUUGGUCGUUAAUGUUUUAAUCAUCCGUUAGAGAACUAUAACCGUCCUUAACUGGUCAUUAUAGAGAUCUAACAUUUUACUUUGAAAAAAUUAGAGUGUUCAAGGCAGGCAAUCGUCAUGAAUACUAUAGCAUGGAAUAAUGGAAUAGGACUUUGGUUCAUUUUAUUGGUUAUUGAACCUUAGUAAUGAUUAACAGGGACAGUCAGGGGCACUCGUAUUCCGCCGAGAGAGGUGAAAUUCUCAGACUAGCGGAAGACGAACCACUGCGAAAGCAUUUGCCAGGGAUGUUUUCAUUA
This 377-nucleotide ribosomal RNA is filed under the name Prostomatea sp. Its description in RNAcentral is "partial small subunit ribosomal RNA". It matches the Rfam family "Eukaryotic small subunit ribosomal RNA", at positions 582 to 975 of the family's 1831-position model. Lineage: Eukaryota; Ciliophora; Prostomatea. The record is from RNAcentral.